This 1076-nucleotide ribosomal RNA is filed under the name uncultured bacterium. Its description in RNAcentral is "bacterial SSU rRNA". It matches the Rfam family "Bacterial small subunit ribosomal RNA", at positions 413 to 1466 of the family's 1533-position model. The record is from RNAcentral.
AUAUAUGGGUUGGUAAACUUCCUUUUAUUACGGGGGAUUAAAUGAUUUCCACAUGUGGAGGAUUAUUAGCCAGUUACCGGCAAGGAAUUAAGGAGCCCGGCUAAUUUCAGUUGCCAGCCAACCCGCGGUAAUACCGGAAAGGUUCCGGGCGUUAAUCCGGAUUUAUUGGGGUUUUAAAAGGGAGCGCAGACUACUUGCCAAGCGUGGCAGUGAAACGCCGUGGGCCCAACCACGGUCCUGCUGCGCGAAACUGGCCUUGCUUGAAGUGGGCCGUAGGUACCGCGGAAAUUCGUGGCGUAACGGUGAAAAUGCUUAGAUAUCACGAGGAACUCCGAUUGCGAAGGGCAGCGUACCAUAUCCCAACUGACGUUUAUGCUCGAAGGUGCGGGUAUCGAACAGGAUUAGAUACCCUGGUAGUCCGCACAGUAAACCAUGGAUGCUCGCUGUCGGCGAUAAAAUUGCCGGUGGCCUAGCGAAAGCGUUAAGCAUCCCACCUGGGGAGUACGCCGGCAAACGGUGAAACUCAAAGGAAUUGACGGGGGCCCGCACAAGCGGAGGAACAUGUGGUUUAAUUCGAUGAUACGCGAGGAACCUUACCCGGGCUUGAAUUGCAGAGGAAAGAUCCAGAGAUGGUGAUGCCCUUCGGGGUCUCUGUGAAGGUGCUGCAUGGUUGUCGUCAGCUCGUGCCGUGAGGUGUCGGCUUAAGUGCCAUAACGAGCGCAACCCCUCUGCGUAGUUGCCAUCGGGUGAUGCCGGGCACUCUGCGCACACUGCCACCGCAAGGUGUGAGGAAGGUGGGGAUGACGUCAAAUCAGCACGGCCCUUACGUCCGGGGCUACACACGUGUUACAAUGGCAGGUACAGCGAGUCGGGAGCAUGCAAAUGUUCUCCAAUCCCCAAAACCUGCCUCAGUUCGGAAUGGGGUCUGCAACCCGACCCCACGAAGCUGGAUUCGCUAGUAAUCGCGCAUCAGCCAUGGCGCGGUGAAUACGUUUCCGGGCCUUGUACACCCGCCCGUCAAGCCAUGAAAGCCGGGGGCGCUUUGUCCGUGACCGCGGGGGUCGGCCUAGGGCGAG